Peromyscus maniculatus bairdii (prairie deer mouse) is the source of this 7303-nucleotide non-coding RNA. The record is from RefSeq and is a predicted model, not a curated record. NCBI's taxonomy places the organism in Eukaryota, Metazoa, Chordata, Mammalia, Rodentia, Cricetidae.
UGGGCUUCCCGAAUCCUGAUUCCUAGCUUGGCAUCCUGUGCAAGUCACUCCUCCCGGGUUCUUGGGUUUCACAGACUCACUAAAAGGGUUGAAGUUUGUUGCAAACCUCCUAUGGAAAGGUUCUAGCCACCAGAGAGAAAAGCCACACACCAAACGCAGAAUCUGGAAUAAACAGUGCUCUUCGAGACAUGAGCCCUUCCAGGUUGGUUCCCAAAAGAACUCCAUUCACAUGCUGCACAACAAUGUUUUGGUCUACAUAGAAGAUGGUGGUCCACAGGCUGUGGUGGUGGCACACGCCUUUAAUCCCAACACUCGGGAGGCAGAGCCAGGUGGAUCUCUGUGAGUUUGAGGCCAGACUGGUCUACAGAGUGAGAUCCAGAACAAGCACCAGAACAAGCACCAAAACAACACAGCAAAACCCUGUCUCAAAAAAAAAAAAAAAGAAAGAAAGAAAGAAAAGAAAAGAAAAAGAAAGGUGGUGGUCCAUGAGUUAAUGGAACUGCACAAUUCAUCAUCAAGUGAUAUCACAACAAUCCUCACAGUGCAAUGCAUCAUGUACAGGUCUAUUUGGAUGUCAGCAAAAACACAUCCAUUAUGCUUUCAGUCACACAGAAGUAUGGUGCAAGCAGGGCAUGGAAGCUCAUGCCUAUAGUACCAGCACUCAGGAGGCUGAAGCAGGAGGAUUACUAUGACUUGUUGACCAAUCAAGGUUAUAGAAUAGACCCUGUCUCAAAAGAACAAAAAGAAGGCUGGGAGGGACAUGCUCAAAGUAUAUUAUAUACAUGUAUAAAAAUGUCCUUAUGUAACCCAGUACCAUGUACAAUCAAGAUGCAGCAAGGGGGUAAAUUGUUAAAAACAGUACUCACAAUUACGUGCAGUAUAAUACUUGGUAGUGAUAAUGAAUGCUGUUACUACUUUAUGUAUCAUUGCCACUUCAGAGAGCAUAUUCCUUUUACUUAUUAAAAAAAGUUAACUGUAAAACCAUGCUGGGUUCUGCAUGCAGCAGACUCCAUAGCUUGUGUUUACUGUAUCUCUUAAUUCCAAGAGACAUCAGAGCUGCAUGGCUGUAAUCCCUGUACUUGAGAGGUUGAAACCAGAGGAUCACUGUGAGUUCCAGGCCUGUCUGGACUACAUAGCAAAAUCCUGCCAGAUCAAAAAAAAAAAAAGUGUGUGUGUGUGUAAGACAACAUCAAGUGAGUAACUUGUAUGUGCUAUUUUGAUUUGUACAAGUAGGCUUAGGGUGGUCAUACAACAAAUCACCAGAUGAUAGAUACAUUUUUCAGAACCUACCCAUUCAUUACAUGACAGAUGACUGUACAAUCCACACCCACAGACAGAUGUGCUACAUAGCAAAGGGGCCCCGACUCCAGCUAUCCGUUACGACACAUAUGCAUGUAUGUAUAACAUACAUCUAUUUCCACUCAGAUUAUUUAGUGAUUUAUGACAAUCAGCAAACCAUGUUAGUUCCAUAUGCAGACACUUGGCUGUGGGGCUUGGGCUAUGGCCAUUAGGUUGUUUUGAAAAGAUCUGCUCUUCCAGCUUUGGAAGUGAACUAAGAAAAGAGAAAGGCAAACAAACAAACAAACUACCAGCAUGGUAAAGAAACACCCGAGCUAAUACUGACUGCCAAGAGACACUGACUGCCAGGUGUGAUGGUGACGUCUUCCUGUUUUCCAAAGGCCCUUAGAACCACUGUGAGAGAGGACAAGUUGCUGGUCAGGGACUCAUGGACCAGCCUGCCAUGGAUGGUCAAUAUAUGGGGUGGGGCUGAAUUAAACAACGGGACAUUAACAGGGCAUUGCUGAACAGUGAUGGGGGCACUAAGCAUUUCGUGGUGAUUUAAUACAAAGUGGUCACUAGGACACUGAGGCUACUUUUAUAAUGUGCCACAUCGAUGACAAUGCACGUGUUAAAAGUUAGAAUACAGGUUAUGAAUCAAGACGUUAUAACCAGAACGCUCCCCGCCACUUUCCUUGUUACUCUAGGCAAGGCCAUCUGUCCCUGUGGGUGUCACCAUAUCAAGUGUAAGGGAGUGACUCCCACCUAAGGGAUUCCCAUCGGCACUAAUGGCGUCAAUGUCACUGUCAAUAAUACGCCAACGGAGCAUCGGUGAGAUGAUGUCUGAGCUAACUUAGGGUAAUAGCUACCAAAUCUCAUUUCCUACAAACAGAUAACACAACCAAGCAGCAGCAGCACAGCAGUCUUGUUUUUUAACAAAUUAAAGGCACACGAUAAGCAGAAGACCCAGGUUCAAAUGGCAGUUCUUGUUACUUUCUCACUUUGUGACCUGAGGGAAGUCAUUUCCCCAGUGGCGAGUGAUUUGGUAACCUCCAGUGUCCCACAUUCACCUUCCCAAACACACGUCCGGUUGCAGACUCCCAAUGUGACCUUAUUUAGAAAUAGUCUUUGUGCCAGGGAGAGGGCUUGGUGGGCAAAACACUUGCCACACAAACGUAAAGAUCUGAGCUUGGUUUGGGUUCCCAGAACCCACAUAUAAAGUUGCAUGCCUUUGUAAUCCCAGCACUCCUAGAGCAAGAAAAAGGAGCUGGAGACAGGAAAAUGGCAGAAAGCUCAUGGGUCAGGUAGUCUGGCUUAUGCAGCAGCAAACUAUGAAAGGCCCAAUCUCCAACAGGAUAGCAAGUGAGGGCUGAGAGCCGAGGUUGUCCUCUGACAAGUGUGCUGCAGCUUGUAACUGCUUACACUUACACACACACACACACACACACACACACACACACACACACACACCCUGACACCCCGACAGACAGACCCUCUGACCCACAGAAUUAACAAGAAACAGGUGUAAGGAAGGGUCUCAAGAUCACACUGGAUUUAGGGCUGUUGUCAUCGUAAGAGAAAGAGGGAAGUCACAGAUAUGGAGGGAGGGUGACCAUAGAGACAGAGACAGAGGACACCGGCAGACCCCAGAAGCUAGAAGAGGCAAGGGAGAGUUCUCCUCUGGGACUUGGGAAGGAACAUGACCCUGCAGAUACACUGAUUUUAAACUUCUGGCUUCUAGAAACGGAAGAGGAUACAUUUCUUGUGUGGUUUUGUUUUGUUUGUUCUGUUCUGUUCUUGAGACAGGGUUUCACUAUGCAGCCCUGCUUGGUUUGGAACUUACUAGGUCAACCAGGCUGGUCUUGAACUCAGACACAUACCUGCUUCUGGAACUAAAGAGCUGAUGUGAAUGACAGUUCAGCUAGCAUAAGAAUGAAGAAAGCAAAACGGUUGGAGGCCAUUGUUUUGGACUGAGACCUUGCAUUCGGCCCUCAAGAGACCAGAGCAAAUCAAAUGGAGUCACUCGUGAGAAACGGCACUGAUUAAACUGACUGUAAGGAAGUGCACAGGUCUCAAAACAGACGAGCUUUUCCUGAAAACAGGACACUCCAGUCUAUAAUCAGUCAGUGCAAUAAUCCAUAGGACCUUGAAAAAACAAUCUUUUAAUCCUUGAAGGAAAAUAAAGGAACCUUUAGUAGCCCGAUGGUCACCAACUGGCUCCCCCACCGGCUGUUUCCUUGCCCCACCUCACAAAAUCCUCUGUUGUGACACCCCCCCUCAGGGGGAGGGGGUUAUUGUUCCCAUCUGUAAAAAGGAGAUGCCUCCCUUCAUAAAUUGCAAGCAAAAGUCAAUUAAACUUGUUUUUGUUGUUGUUUUUUGAGACAGGAUUUUUUUGCCUAGCCCUGGCUGUCCUGGGACAUCAAUUAAACCUGUAACUAAACUUGUUAUGAUACUGUGUUUGGACAAGUAGCUUGUAAAAUGGGUACAGGGCCCAUAUAGAAAACGACGUCAUGGCUCUGUGAGUGGCUGCGUUGGGGGAGCACUCUGGAAAGCUGAGGAGGGACAGGGAGUAUGGGGGCCCUCAGGUGAGAACAGUUCGAGGGACAUUAUCAAGGCAGGCAGCGGCCACAUCAGCCUCUGGCCUGGGAAUGAUUUGCUGAGGAUGUGUGAGGUGCACAGCAAAAGCCUUGGAUGGGGAAUCAGAGCACAAGGGUGGGCAUGUGUACCCCACUUCACUGAGGAUAUCUCCUAGGGCUCCAGAGGGCAGGUAAAGAGGCUCAACUGAAGGUUACCUCUCCCACACCCGAGGGUGGGAGAGGAAUUCCCACUCAUUAACUCCUUUUUUGAGAUGUGUCUCACUGCAGUCCUAGAUGGCCGGGCGGGAAUCAAGGCAGGCCCUGUGGCCUCAACCUCACAGAGACCCACCUGUCUCUGGCUCCUGAGGGCUAGGAUUGAGUCGGCACCACUGCGCCCACAGCUCCCGACAUUUUAAAACAGUGAACAAGGAUGGACUGAGGCAGACCACGCUCACAAGGCUAUCACGGGGAAGAGUUCCUAAGGGGGAUUUGGCGAUGUGUAUUAAGACUAAAGCUAUGUCCAAGCUUGGAGCUGAGACUGCCCCUUCUGGGAAUGUACUCAAGGAACUGAUCAGGAAGCCAAAAAUCCUUCACGAAUAAAGAUUCUCACUGCCAUUCUAACAGCCUUUCAAGAAGGGAGAAAAUGGUUGAAGAGAAAAAUGGCUUGAGAACAGCAUAGAGGCCGGGUCGGAGGCUGCUGAAGCAUGUGAGGGAGGGCCUGGACCUGCUAAGGCGCCGCCCUGGCAGUCCUGCACAGCGCUCGACUCCGUGGGAGGCAGGUGGCACCUCGCUCUGCAGGCCAGGCUGCUCCAGAACCCACUUUGGAGCCCAGAUUGCCUGCAAAGAUCCUCAGUCUUUGCCUUUGGAGCACUAAGAUGACAGAUGUGAGUCAGCUCUCUGAAACAUCUCCACGCCAAGUAAAGACAAAGGCUUCAUUUACACGUGAGUCCUGAGAGUGUAUGCAUAAGGCAUACUUCAGGAACUCCACCACUGGGGACACCGAGCACAUCAGGCCUCAAACAUGUAAACAAACUGAGUCUGGGCUUUCCAUGGCAACAAGCCCAAAAUGGCCUUUGUCUACAUAUGGAACUUCUUCUGUACUUCUUUAAUAGUUAGCUUUUAAACACGUGCCGCCUUGUUUUUGAAAGGCUGGAUUAUGUUCAGGUCUGCUAAUCACGAGACAGAGUGGGCAAGCAGACUGUCUACACCAGAGGGCAGCGAGGGGCGCCAGCCUGAACACUGUCACAGAGGUAGAGCUGGGCCAGGCAGAAAGUGUGGGAUCUCUGCUGCACCCCUGAAUAUCUCAUCGCUCUGAAAUUCUCCUGUAGGUUAGCAGCUUAGGAUGUCCACCUUUGGGUGUCCCAUAAGUACAGUGGUUCAGGCCAUGAGAACUCUCCAAAACUUGGAAGGGAUCCAACAUUGCAGAGGUCAGGAUGGAGAGCAAGAGUGACCUCUGUGGUCAGUAGGAACCCCUAGGUUAUUGUAAAAUGGCCUCGGGUCCAGGGCAUCUUUCCUAGACCUCCCUAAAGAGAAAAGCCAAGCCAGGCAUGGUGGUGUACGUCUGUAAUCACAGAACUUGGGAGUUGGAGGCAGGAGGAUCAGGUCUACAAGGUGAUCCUCAGAUACACAGUGAACAUGAGGUCAUCCUGGGUUAAACAACAGUUGAUACCACAGAAACAAAAAAGAUAGAAAAAAAAUCCGAGGUUAGAAAAGUCUGUGAGUGCCCUUCUACAUCAUGGCAGCAUGGGUGGCACAAUGGAGUCCCUUGGGCAGUUGGAUACUAUAAAGAAAAGCAGUCUUUGGGGAACCACAGACGACCCACAUUUCCUCUGCACCCUCUGGUUCUCCUCUCCUCUCUCGAUACCCUCAGACCUCUCUGAAGGCUUUGCUUCAGCCCAUCUACAACAGAAACUUUGUGCUUCUAAGGGACCCACACUUGUGUGGUUAAUACUAUCAACUAGGAAACAUCUGGAAUCCCCUAGAAGACAAAUUCUGGACAUGUCUGUGAAGGAGUUUCUAGCUUGAUCACGGAGGUGAGAAGACCUCCCUCAACUGUGGUGGCGUCAUUCCAUGGGCUGGAAUCCCAGAAUUAGUGAAAAGAAAAAAGUGAGUUAAAGGCCUCUCUUCACCUCUCUGCUUCCUGACUGUGGACACGAUGUGACCAGCUGCUUCCUGCUCCUGCCUCCAUGAUUUUCCUACUGUGAUGGACCCUGGAUCUGACUCUGUCUCCCAUGCACAGCUUUGGUUCCUGGCAGUUGUCAGAAAGAAGGCAAGGAAGAAACCCUGAAGAACAGUAAGAACGCCAUGUUGUCAGGAUCCAAAUAUUAGCAUCUGAAGAACAGUCUUAUGGAGAAGGAAGCAGCUUCUUUUUUGUGAGCCCAGGCAGCACACAGAGUGAGCAGACUAUGAGCAGGUGUGUCUCAGAUCUGUGAGGGGUGGUGCCACGCAGCCGCCUCCUGCAGCUUCGAGACUCAUUCUGAGCGCGCAGCUCCUCUGGGAAGCCUUCCUGGGGGCAGCUGCUCCCACCUGCCAGCAUGCUCCUACCACUGCCCUGCCCUCUCCAUGGCAUGUGGGGGUUUCAGGGAAGCGAUCCACUUGACCUGAGUUCUGCAGAGCCUUGCAGACGCAUGCCAGGAAAUGGUGGUGACGGCUGGCCUUUGAGGUCCCUGUUCUGUCACUUACAAAUCCCACAACCUGGACAAGUUCUUUACCUUUCUGGACUCGCUUUUGUCAUCUAUAAAAUGGGAAUAACAAAAUAUACUAGAGCUUGAAUGCAUGGGUUCAGAAAAAUAUCUGGACUUCUUUUUUGAGCUUCUUUGAGCUUCUGCCCACCCCACCCUGGGUUUCCACAGUGACCUGUGACACCCCUCUCUUUCAGGUCUGGGCAUUUCAGACAGUGUUCUCCACAAGCAUUAGACAGAACUUUUCUCCCUGGCUUUUCAAUUACACUAAAAUGACCCAUCAGUCAAAGUACUUGCUUCUCCAAGGGAAUACAAAUGCUCUGUGAAUUACAUCACCUCUUCCUGAGGGAUAAUCUGCCAAUUGGGAAAGAAGCUCAGAACUCACGACAUCUACAAGGGACCAGCACUACUUCCUGUCCUUGCCACUGGCCUGUAUAGACUGUCUAAGUCAGUCCCUGACUUGAGUGGGGAUUGUGGUACCUACAGCACUGUUACCUUUUCAACCAGCCCUGACAACUGCCAAGAAAGUGUGAUGCUCAGAUGCAAGAUUAAACUCCGCCUCAACUGGUGAGAGGCUCAGAGGAUAAAGGCAUUUGCUGCCGAGGCUGACGCCCUGAGUUCGAUCCCUGGGACUUGCCUGGUGGAAAGAAAGAACUGACUCCUACAGGUUAUCCUCCGACCUUCCACACAAUGUGUUGCGGCGCACAUGCCUGUGUGCAGGUACACCUACCUGCACAUAUACACGCAAUAAAUAAAAUGCAAUAAAAA